RNAcentral lists this ribosomal RNA (459 nucleotides) under grassland soil clone saf1_124. RNAcentral describes it as "bacterial SSU rRNA". It matches the Rfam family "Bacterial small subunit ribosomal RNA", at positions 50 to 496 of the family's 1533-position model. The record is from RNAcentral.
AACACAUGCAAGUGGAGCGACGAACCGGGCUUUGCCCCGGGCAGAGCCGCGAACGGGUGAGUAACACGUGGGUAACCCACCCCGAUGAUUGGGACAACCCGGGGAAACUCGGGCUAAUACCAAAUGUGCUCGGCGACCAUGAGGUCUCCAAGUAAAGAUAGCUUCGGCCUUCGUAUCGGGACGGGCCCGCGGCCCAUUAGCUUGUUGGUGAGGUAACGGCUCACCAAGGCUGCGAUGGGUAGCUGGUCUGAGAGGACGAUCAGCCACACUGGGACUGAGACACGGCCCAGACUCCUACGGGAGGCAGCAGUGGGGAAUCUUGCGCAAUGCGCGAAAGCGUGACGCAGCAACGCCGCGUGGAGGAAGACGGUCUUCGGAUUGUAAACUCCUUUCAGUUGGGACGAAGCUCAACGGGUUAAUAGCUCGAUGGAGUGACGGUACCUUCAGAAGAAGCCCCGG